Molecule: long non-coding RNA, 1180 nt
Organism: Esox lucius (northern pike)
Lineage: Eukaryota; Metazoa; Chordata; Actinopteri; Esociformes; Esocidae
Source: Ensembl
AAAUAAACAAAAUAAGCAAAUGAGCACAAAACCUUUAAUGUUUUAAAAAUAACCUCAAUUAUUUAUAUUAGUACAAAUAGUUCGAUUUCUUUUUCUUUUCUUUUUACAAACACCAGCAUGAAAAGGAUUACAAUAAGAGUAGAAAAUGACUGAAAAACAUAUCAACAUCUUCUUCAAAUGUCUGCAAUUAAAAAUGGCAUUAAAGAAUUACAUUGCAAAGAGUCUUUAUCUGGAAGAAAUUCAAAAAAAAAAAGUAUUGCACAUAACAACUUGAAGUUAACUUGCAACAUUUUACCACAUUCAAGUCUUAAAGUUCCCCUUUCUCCAACAAGGUUAAACAACCUCAACAAACAGUUGGGGAUGAGUUUAUCAAGUCUUUUCAACAGUGUCCAAUGAGCUGCUCAAGUCCUGCACUGCUAAACUUGAUUUUAGAGUUAUUUAAUAUAUAUAUUUUUGUAUUUUUUUCUUUGCAUCCUGCAGAGGUCUGAGUAUGGGGAAGGCAAAGAGAGUAGCGAACACAUGGGAGGGGAGUGAGGUGUGGGGGGGUGUCCUUAACAAAUUAAAAUUGAGAAACAUCUGGUGCACAACCACAACAAUUAAUUCCAAUAGCUAAUUCAUGUACUUAUCUUUUUUUUUUUUGUCAUGCAUGCUAAGGAUUACAAUAGGAGCUAGUUGGCAAGUUCAAGAAUAUAUAUUUUCAAAUGUUAAAAAUACCUAAACACCAAACAUCCAUUCUUGUGAUACAAGAUUCAGCCUAAGCAUGAACCGUAAUUUGCAUUCUCCUUAUUAUAGUUAAUAUUCCAGCUACGGAGAGAAAACCAAAAAGAGAGAUGUUACCAUUUUCCAACUAGGCCAGCCAUUUUUGAAACAAUAACAUUAAUUUAAAAUGACAACUUUUUAAUGGCCAUGCUGUUAAAAUCUGAUUUUUGUGAGCCACCUAGGGAAUUGAGGUCCAAGACCUUAAGCAUUAGACUUUUAUGAUCGUUCCUCUGCAGUUUGAAGUCGCAACAACACAAGUGAGCACUUAGUUGUAAAGAUUCCUCAGCACUGAAAUGUAGAAAAAGCAUAAUUGAAAAUAAUAUAUAUUGAAAUCACUCAACUUUUUUUCUUUAAAUGAAAAUUUCCAUAUAUGCAGAUCUCUCAGUAACAAAAGUACAAAAGCUACCUUUCACAAUGUGAA